CAGCCUGUAGCUCAGUCUGGUAGAGCGCCUGUUUUGGGAACAGGAAGUCCCGUGUUCAAAUCACGGUAGGCUGA
Molecule: transfer RNA, 74 nt
Filed under: Prevotella sp.
Lineage: Bacteria; Pseudomonadati; Bacteroidota; Bacteroidia; Bacteroidales; Prevotellaceae
Description: tRNA-Pro
Rfam family: tRNA
About the family: Transfer RNA (tRNA) molecules are approximately 80 nucleotides in length.
Source: RNAcentral